RNAcentral lists this ribosomal RNA (494 nucleotides) under uncultured bacterium. RNAcentral's name for it is "partial 16S ribosomal RNA". It matches the Rfam family "Bacterial small subunit ribosomal RNA", at positions 28 to 507 of the family's 1533-position model. The record is from RNAcentral.
GACGAACGCUGGCGGCGUGCUUAACACAUGCAAGUCGAACGGAAAGGCCUGCUUUCCCUUGUGGAUUGCGGGUACUCGAGUGGCGAACGGGUGAGUAACACGUGAGUGAUCUGCCCCCAACUUGGGUAUAAGCCUGGGAAACUGGGUCUAAUUCCCGAUAGGACUGCAGGGUGGAGCCUGUGGUGGAAAACGAUUUUCUAGUGGUUGGGGAUGAGCUCGCGGCCUAUCAGCUUGUUGGUGGGGUAAUGGCCUACCAAGGCGGCGACGGGUAGCCGGCCUGAGAGGGUGGACGGCCACAUUGGGACUGAGAUACGGCCCAGACUCCUACGGGAGGCAGCAGUGGGGAAUAUUGCACAAUGGGCGGAAGCCUGAUGCAGCGACGCCGCGUGGGGGAUGACGGCCUUCGGGUUGUAAACUCCUUUCGACCGCGAGGAAGCCACCUGGUUGGAAGGGUGGUGACGGUAGUGGUAGAAGAAGCACCGGCUAACUACGUG